GGAAGUUAAGAAAUUGUUUCUUAACUUUUAACUAAAAAAGCUAAGAACCGGUUCUUAAAUAAGGACUUAAGAACCGGUUCUUAUACUUUUUAGUUAAAAGUUAAGAAACCGUUUCUUAACUUCA
Molecule: non-coding RNA, 124 nt
Organism: Brassica napus (rape)
Lineage: Eukaryota; Viridiplantae; Streptophyta; Magnoliopsida; Brassicales; Brassicaceae
Source: Rfam